Molecule: ribosomal RNA, 1359 nt
Filed under: uncultured bacterium
Lineage: Bacteria
Description: bacterial SSU rRNA
Rfam family: Bacterial small subunit ribosomal RNA
Source: RNAcentral
GGAUGAACGCCGGCGGUGUGCCUAAUACAUGCAAGUCGUACGCAGGUGCUUGCACCUGAGUGGCGGACGGGUGAGUAACACGUAGGUAACCUGCCCCGGAGCGGGGGAUAACAUUUGGAAACAGAUGCUAAUACCGCAUAACAACAAAGCCACAUGGCUUUUGUUGAAAGAUGUUUGUAUCACUCUGGGAUGGACCUGCGGUGCAUUAGCUAGUUGGUAAGGUAAUGGCUUACCAAGGCGAUGAUGCAUAGCCGAGUUGAGAGACUGAUCGGCCACAAUGGAACUGAGACACGGUCCAUACUCCUACGGGAGGCAGCAGUAGGGAAUCUUCCACAAUGGGCGCAAGCCUGAUGGAGCAACACCGCGUGAGUGAAGAAGGGUUUCGGCUCGUAAAGCUCUGUUGUUGGAGAAGAACGUGCGUGAGGUAAUUCACGCAGUGACGGUAUCCAACCAGAAAGUCACGGCUAACUACGUGCCAGCAGCCGCGGUAAUACGUAGGUGGCAAGCGUUAUCCGGAUUUAUGGGCGUAAAGCGAGCGCAGGCGGUUGCUUAGGUCUGAUGUGAAAGCCUUCGGCUUAACCGAAGAAGUGCAUCGGAAACCGGGCGACUUGAGUGCAGAAGAGGACAGUGGAACUCCGUGUGUAGCGGUGGAAUGCGUAGAUAUAUGGAAGAACACCAGUGGCGAAGGCGGCUGUCUGGUCUGCAACUGACGCUGAGGCUCGAAAGCAUGGGUAGCGAACAGGAUUAGAUACCCUGGUAGUCCAUGCCGUAAACGAUGAGUGCUAGGUGUUGGAGGGUUCCGCCCUUCAGUGCCGGAGCUAACGCAUUAAGCACUCCGCCUGGGGAGUACGACCGCAAGGUUGAAACUCAAAGGAAUUGACGGGGGCCCGCACAAGCGGUGGAGCAUGUGGUUUAAUUCGAAGCUACGCGAAGAACCUUACCAGGUCUUGACAUCUUGCGCUAACCUUAGAGAUAAGGCGUUCCCUUCGGGGACGCAAUGACAGGUGGUGCAUGGUCGUCGUCAGCUCGUGUCGUGAGAUGUUGGGUUAAGUCCCGCAACGAGCGCAACCCUUGUUACUAGUUGCCAGCAUUAAGUUGGGCACUCUAGUGAGACUGCCGGUGACAAACCGGAGGAAGGUGGGGACGACGUCAGAUCAUCAUGCCCCUUAUGACCUGGGCUACACACGUGCUACAAUGGACGGUACAAUGAGUCGCAAGCUCGCGAGAGUAAGCUAAUCUCUUAAAGCCGUUCUCAGUUCGGACUGUAGGCUGCAACUCGCCUACACGAAGUCGGAAUCGCUAGUAAUCGCGGAUCAGCAUGCCGCGGUGAAUACGUUCCCGGGCCUUGCACACACCGCC